CCUAUGCUCACAUAAAAUAAGCAACGAGCAGAAAUGACCCAAAUAUUCACCAAUGGAUAAUAUGCCAAGAGAAGCCAGGGCAAAGGAAAGCACAUAGGCUGCCUGGUUCCAUUUAUUCAAAAUUCUAGGGAAUGUAAACUAAGAUAAAGUGACCACAUGCUGAAAACUGCGUGGAUGGAGGGGUUACAUGUGAAAACUGUAGUAAUGGGUCAGUUCACUGUGUGAACGGCUUCAGAAGUAUACACAUAUGUAAAAUAUUAUCAAAUUGUGCCCUUCAAAUACGUACAUUUUUCAAUGGGUGUAAUGGCACAAGCCUAUAAUUUCAGUAUUUGGGAGACUGAGGCAGGCGAGUCAGGAGUGUGAGGCAAGCCUGAGCUUCCUAGGAAGACCUUGUCUCAAUGACAAACAAAGGUUGGGAAGAUGUAGAUCAGUGUUUGCCUUGUAUGCAUAAUGCCGUAGGCUUGAGCCCUCAAACAAGAAAAGAAUGUACAGUGCCGUUGUCUGUCAACAACACUGCAGUAAAACUAGUUUUGUUUUUAUUUACUUUAUCUGGAGCAGUCAUCCAAGGCUGAAAUCCAUCAAAUGCCUUCUCAUCCUUCCAGAAAGCAAACCCUUCCAAGCACUGGGGUAGAAGGAGAAAAAGGAAACAAGGACUUCAAAUGCUACUCUGAGCCUAGGAUACCAUUGAACAUCUGAUUCUUCUGCCUCCACAACUUAAGUGCUGGGAUGACAGAUGUAUAUCACCAUGCAGUGUUGGGGUCUGAACCCAGGGUUUUAUGCAUGCUAAAGCAGUACCCUUCCAAUUGAACUACAUCCCCCAGACACAUAAAACAAUGGGUUUUAUUAUGACAUUUUAUACAUAUAGAUUAUUGUAUUCUGCUCAUAUUUGGCCCCACCCAAUAAAAAUUUCCUGUUGGACUGAA
Long non-coding RNA from Peromyscus leucopus (white-footed mouse), 923 nucleotides. RefSeq lists it as uncharacterized. NCBI's taxonomy places the organism in Eukaryota, Metazoa, Chordata, Mammalia, Rodentia, Cricetidae. The transcript is spliced from 2 exons. The record is from RefSeq and is a predicted model, not a curated record.